Molecule: long non-coding RNA, 363 nt
Filed under: Monodelphis domestica (gray short-tailed opossum)
Lineage: Eukaryota; Metazoa; Chordata; Mammalia; Didelphimorphia; Didelphidae
Description: lncRNA (ENSMODG00000031253.2)
Source: RNAcentral
GCGUUCCAUUGUUAUCCACAUGUCAUAAGAUUGAGAGUGUGGAGACCAUUGCACCUAUUGCCAAGGAGGUUAUAGAAUCUACUCUUCAAGAUAUUUCUUAGCAAUAAGUCUUUCCUUGGAAAGAUUUGGUUGAAAUACCAGCUAAAGCCUGGAGAUGCUCGAGACUUCAAGAAAAAGACGAAGUCAACAUGAUCACAUUCUUUAUAUUUUCAUGAUGAUCAUGACAGAUAUGAAGGCUUUCUACUAGCAAAAGUGAAGAUAUUUUGUUUGCUUAUUUUGCUUUUAAUAGGGUUAUAUGGCCUCGUGUAAUUACUGAACCCUGCUGUUCAUAAUUUCAUCAAUAAACAAUAUUAAAUAUUUGCA